This 21-nucleotide unclassified non-coding RNA is filed under the name Mus musculus (house mouse). RNAcentral's name for it is "oocyte_clustered_small_RNA7285". Lineage: Eukaryota; Metazoa; Chordata; Mammalia; Rodentia; Muridae. The record is from RNAcentral.
UGGUGGUGUUUUAUGGGAUGA